UACGAAGGGGGCUAGCGUUGCUCGGAAUCACUGGGCGUAAAGGGCGCGUAGGCGGCUUAUCAAGUCGGGGGCGAAAGCCCGUGGCUCAACCACGGAAUGGCCUUCGAUACUGGUAGGCUUGAGACCGGAAGAGGACAGCGGAACUGCGAGUGUAGAGGUGAAAUUCGUAGAUAUUCGCAAGAACACCAGUGGCGAAGGCGGCUGUCUGGUCCGGUUCUGACGCUGAGGCGCGAAAGCGUGGGGAGCAAACAGG
This 253-nucleotide ribosomal RNA is filed under the name uncultured bacterium. Its description in RNAcentral is "partial 16S ribosomal RNA". It matches the Rfam family "Bacterial small subunit ribosomal RNA", at positions 524 to 776 of the family's 1533-position model. The record is from RNAcentral.